GCUUCUUUUCCCACCGGAGCUUGCUCCACCGGGAAAAGAGGAGUGGCGAACGGGUGAGUAACACGUGGGUAACCUGCCCAUCAGAAGGGGAUAACACUUGGAAACAGGUGCUAAUACCGUAUAACAAUCGAAACCGCAUGGUUUCGUUUUGAAAGGCGCUUUACGGUGCCGCUGAUGGAUGGACCCGCGGUGCAUUAGCUAGUUGGUGAG
This 210-nucleotide ribosomal RNA is filed under the name uncultured bacterium. RNAcentral's name for it is "partial 16S ribosomal RNA". It matches the Rfam family "Bacterial small subunit ribosomal RNA", at positions 68 to 256 of the family's 1533-position model. The record is from RNAcentral.